This 449-nucleotide ribosomal RNA is filed under the name uncultured bacterium. RNAcentral's name for it is "partial 16S ribosomal RNA". It matches the Rfam family "Bacterial small subunit ribosomal RNA", at positions 354 to 796 of the family's 1533-position model. The record is from RNAcentral.
GUGGGGAAUAUUGGACAAUGGGCGAAAGCCUGAUCCAGCCAUGCCGCGUGUGUGAAGAAGGUCUUCGGAUUGUAAAGCACUUUAAGUUGGGAGGAAGGGCAGUAAGUUAAUACCUUGCUGUUUUGACGUUACCGACAGAAUAAGCACCGGCUAACUUCGUGCCAGCAGCCGCGGUAAUACGAAGGGUGCAAGCGUUAAUCGGAAUUACUGGGCGUAAAGCGCGCAUAGGUGGUUUUGUAAGUUGGAGGUGAAAUCCCCGGGCUCAACCUGGGAACUGCCUCCAAAACUGCAUGACUAGAGUACGGUAGAGGGUAGUGGAAUUUCCUGUGUAGCGGUGAAAUGCGUAGAUAUAGGAAGGAACACCAGUGGCGAAGGCGACUACCUGGACUGAUACUGACACUGAGGUGCGAAAGCGUGGGGAGCAAACAGGAUUAGAUACCCUAGAGUCC